RNAcentral lists this ribosomal RNA (441 nucleotides) under uncultured Bacillota bacterium. Its description in RNAcentral is "bacterial SSU rRNA". It matches the Rfam family "Bacterial small subunit ribosomal RNA", at positions 939 to 1382 of the family's 1533-position model. Lineage: Bacteria; Bacillati; Bacillota. The record is from RNAcentral.
UUGUGGUUUAAUUCGAAGCAACGCGAAGAACCUUACCAGGUCUUUGACAUCUUUUGAAUGGUCUAGAGAUAGAUCAGGCCUUCGGGACAGAAGAGACAGGUGGUGCAUGGUUGUCGUCAGCUCGUGUCGUGAGAUGUUGGGUUAAGUCCCGCAACGAGCGCAACCCUUAUCAUUAGUUGCUAACAUUCAGUUGAGAACUCUAAUGAGACUGCCAGUGAUAAACUGGAGGAAGGUGGGAUGACGUCAAAUCAUCAUGCCCCUUAUGACCUGGGCUACACACGUGCUACAAUGGCCGGUACAAAGAGUUGCGAAACUGUGAAGUUAAGCUAAUCUCAUAAAGCCGGUCUCAGUUCGGAUUGUAGUCUGCAACUCGACUACAUGAAGUCGGAAUCGCUAGUAAUCGCGAAUCAGAAUGUCGCGGUGAAUACGUUCUCGAGUCUU